Molecule: ribosomal RNA, 134 nt
Filed under: uncultured eukaryote
Lineage: Eukaryota
Description: partial small subunit ribosomal RNA
Rfam family: Eukaryotic small subunit ribosomal RNA
Source: RNAcentral
CCCUGCCAUUUGUACACACCGCCCGUCGCUCCUACCGAUUGAAUGGUCCGGUGAAGUGUUCGGAUCGCGGCGACGGGGGCGGUUCGCCGCCCCCGACGUCGCGAGAAGUCCAUUGAACCUUAUCAUUUAGAGGA